This 447-nucleotide ribosomal RNA is filed under the name uncultured bacterium. Its description in RNAcentral is "bacterial SSU rRNA". It matches the Rfam family "Bacterial small subunit ribosomal RNA", at positions 355 to 825 of the family's 1533-position model. The record is from RNAcentral.
UGGGGAAUAUUGGACAAUGGGCGCAAGCCUGAUCCAGCCAUGCCGCGUGAGUGACGAAGGUCUUCGGAUUGUAAAGCUCUUUUAGCAGGGAAGAUAAUGACGGUACCUGCAGAAUAAGCCCCGGCUAACUCCGUGCCAGCAGCCGCGGUAAUACGGAGGGUGCAAGCGUUGUUCGGAAUUACUGGGCGUAAAGCGCGUGUAGGCGGGUCGUUAAGUUGGGGGUGAAAUCCCGAGGCUCAACCUCGGAACUGCCUUCAAAACUGGCGACCUGGACUCAAGCAGAGGCAAGUGGAAUUGCGAGUGUAGAGGUGAAAUUCGUAGAUAUUCGCAGGAACACCAGUGGCGAAGGCGACUUGCUGGGCUUGUAGUGACGCUGAGACGCGAAAGCGUGGGGAGCAAACAGGAUUAGAUACCCUCGUAGUCCCUGAGCGGGCUGGCAAGGCGCAU